UACCAGCACCCCGAGUGGUCGGGACGAUUAUUGGGCCUAAAGCAUCCGUAGCCGGUCCUACAAGUCUUCCGUUAAAUCCACCUGCUCAACAGAUGGGCUGCGGAAGAUACUAUAGGGCUAGGAGGCGGGAGAGGCAAGCGGUACUCGAUGGGUAGGGGUAAAAUCCGUUGAUCCAUUGAAGACCACCAGUGGCGAAGGCGGCUUGCCAGAACGCGCUCGACGGUGAGGGAUGAAAGCUGGGGGAGCAAACCGG
Molecule: ribosomal RNA, 253 nt
Filed under: uncultured bacterium
Lineage: Bacteria
Description: partial 16S ribosomal RNA
Rfam family: Archaeal small subunit ribosomal RNA
Source: RNAcentral